GCGCGCGGUACGGCCCGCCUGUGGCCGCCCCCAGCGCCGGCCCCGGAGCUGGGGCCAACCCCCACAGCGCGGCAGCAGCGACCGCGGCGGCAGUAGCGGCCUCCGUCGCUAGAACGAUCCUAGAGGAUCACGGUUUCGGGAGGAGUUUCGACCUGGCUCCCAGACUGCCCAACCCUGCCGGCCGCACCCUGUGGACCAACCAGAGGGACUUGAGCUCCUACUCGCCGCCUCCGCCCGCACAGGACCAGUGGGAAGGGCGAGGGGCGGCAUCGUGGCGUCGCUGACUCCAUCGAACUGCCGUACUACCACCUGCCAGCUGUCGUGUCAGCCGUCACCGAUUAGGUCCUGGAACAUUCGGAGUAGAGUGCCUUGUUACUGGACGAGUUUCAUAAAACCAGAGCGCCAUUCACUUGGUAUACCUAAAAAUAAGAAGAAAGUGACAUGUAAUCCUUGAUACCAACUUUGAAAAAUAUUGCAAACCCGGUCUAAUCUGAA
This is a long non-coding RNA of Frankliniella occidentalis (western flower thrips), 495 nucleotides long. RefSeq lists it as uncharacterized. Lineage: Eukaryota; Metazoa; Arthropoda; Insecta; Thysanoptera; Thripidae. The transcript is spliced from 3 exons. The record is from RefSeq and is a predicted model, not a curated record.